AACGAACGCUGGCGGCAUGCCUAACACAUGCAAGUCGAACGAGACCUUCGGGUCUAGUGGCGCACGGGUGCGUAACGCGUGGGAACCUGCCCUUAGGUUCGGACUAACUCCCCGAAAGGGGUGCUAAUACCGGAUAAUGUCUUCGGACCAAAGAUUUAUCGACUUGGGUGGGGCCCUCGUUGGAUUAGAUCGUUGGUAGGCUAAAAGCUGACGAAGGCGUGGAUCCAUAGCUGGGAACAGAGGAAGAUCAGCGACACUGGGACGGAGACACGGCCCGGACUCCUACGGGAGGCAGGAGAGGCGAAUAGUGGAAAAUCGGCGGAGGCAUGAUGCAGCACUGCCGCGUGAGUGAUGAAGGCCUUGGGGUUGUAAAGCUCUUUUACCCGGGAUGAUAAUGACAGUACCGAGAGAAUAAGCUCCGGCUAACUCCGUG
This 433-nucleotide ribosomal RNA is filed under the name uncultured bacterium. RNAcentral's name for it is "partial 16S ribosomal RNA". It matches the Rfam family "Bacterial small subunit ribosomal RNA", at positions 29 to 507 of the family's 1533-position model. The record is from RNAcentral.